GUGACCCCAUAGGUUCUAUUCUAUUUAGUAGUGAGAUAUAUUUUGAUCACUAUCAAUAAUAUCACUGAAACUCUUUUCAGUGGAUCGGAACAAUUCCAAUUCAGCCCAAUAAGAAUUAUCGAUCAUCUAGUUAAUUCUCAUGAGUCUCACAAUCCACCAGUGACGCCUAGCAGCAUGUAGUGGCAUUCCAGUAGAAUGGAAUACUGAACCUCUUGGUGCAGUUACCGUGUGAUACAAUCCUUCUAUCAUGAGUCCCGACUAGAUGGAGGUUAUGGAAUAACUCGUCAAACCCCAUCGUCUGUCAUAUGUUAAAUUUAUUCGACUCGAGUUUCUAAUAUCGAAAACCCUUUUCCUCUAUUAACUCUGCCCUGGCCAAGGUCUUCUAAACUCAGUCUCAUAAAUCACAUAGGACUAACACCCCUAUCUACCAAGGGAUAUAGAUUCCAUCUAAAUGCGCACCCUAUUCCUACAAUGAACCUACUGCAGCCAACAUGCACCGCAAGGAUCCGAAUGGCUAGGGACCAAGUGUAUGUACAGUGAAACUACAGUAACCUCAUUGUG
RNAcentral lists this long non-coding RNA (561 nucleotides) under Ananas comosus (pineapple). RNAcentral's name for it is "long non-coding RNA (ACOM_LNC034478)". The record is from RNAcentral. Lineage: Eukaryota; Viridiplantae; Streptophyta; Magnoliopsida; Poales; Bromeliaceae.